This 659-nucleotide ribosomal RNA is filed under the name Vibrio parahaemolyticus. RNAcentral's name for it is "bacterial SSU rRNA". It matches the Rfam family "Bacterial small subunit ribosomal RNA", at positions 66 to 718 of the family's 1533-position model. The record is from RNAcentral. Lineage: Bacteria; Pseudomonadati; Pseudomonadota; Gammaproteobacteria; Vibrionales; Vibrionaceae.
UCUGAACCUUCGGGGGACGAUAACGGCGUCGAGCGGCGGACGGGUGAGUAAUGCCUAGGAAAUUGCCCUGAUGUGGGGGAUAACCAUUGGAAACGAUGGCUAAUACCGCAUGAUGCCUACGGGCCAAAGAGGGGGACCUUCGGGCCUCUCGCGUCAGGAUAUGCCUAGGUGGGAUUAGCUAGUUGGUGAGGUAAGGGCUCACCAAGGCGACGAUCCCUAGCUGGUCUGAGAGGAUGAUCAGCCACACUGGAACUGAGACACGGUCCAGACUCCUACGGGAGGCAGCAGUGGGGAAUAUUGCACAAUGGGCGCAAGCCUGAUGCAGCCAUGCCGCGUGUAUGAAGAAGGCCUUCGGGUUGUAAAGUACUUUCAGUCGUGAGGAAGGUGGUAGCGUUAAUAGCGCUAUCAUUUGACGUUAGCGACAGAAGAAGCACCGGCUAACUCCGUGCCAGCAGCCGCGGUAAUACGGAGGGUGCGAGCGUUAAUCGGAAUUACUGGGCGUAAAGCGCAUGCAGGUGGUUUGUUAAGUCAGAUGUGAAAGCCCGGGGCUCAACCUCGGAAUAGCAUUUGAAACUGGCAGACUAGAGUACUGUAGAGGGGGGUAGAAUUUCAGGUGUAGCGGUGAAAUGCGUAGAGAUCUGAAGGAAUACCGGUGGCGA